This 246-nucleotide long non-coding RNA is filed under the name Panax ginseng (ginseng). RNAcentral's name for it is "long non-coding RNA (PGIN_LNC013400)". The record is from RNAcentral. Lineage: Eukaryota; Viridiplantae; Streptophyta; Magnoliopsida; Apiales; Araliaceae.
UCGGUUUGGUGCUGAUUUCUUGUGACUGAGGAUUUCAUGGAAUCAGCCCUCUCAUAGCCAUUGGAAGCUCUACUAUAUAUAUCUCUCCUGCUCGGCUAUUGGAAGACAGAACUUGGAAAAGCUUUAAUUAGUCUCAUACGUUCUAUUCAAUAGCGAUUCUGAGUUUCUUUCCAGCAACCCUUUUGUAUUGUUCUUAAAUUGUAUUAUGCUGGAAACUUGAUAGUCGAUAAUCAAUAUCCUUGUUCU